AGUGGAAUUGCUGGAUUAUAUGGUAACUCUGUGUUUAACCCUUUGAGGAAAUGCCAGACUGUUUUUCAAAGCAGCUGUAGCAUUUUAUACACCCUGAUGGGAGUGCAUAAGGGUUCCAGUUUCUCGACAGCUCACCAACACUUGUCAUUUUCUUUUGUUGAUCAUAGCCAGCCUAGUGGACGUGAAGUGGCAUUUCCUCGUGGUUGCAUUUGUAUUACAUAGUGACUGCUGACGUUGAGCAUCUUUUCCUGUGCUUACUAGCUGUUUGUAUAUCUUCUUUGGAAAAAUGUCUCUUCAGAUCCUUUGCCCAUUUUUAAAUUGGGUUAUUUGUCUUUUUAUUGUUGAGUUAUAGUGGCUCUUUAAAUUUAGAUUAAUUAAAGUGAAAUAAAAUUAAAAAUUCAGUUCCUCAGUCACACUAGCCACAUUUCCAGGACUCAGUCACCCCGUGGGUGGUGGCCACAGUAUUGGACAGUUGCAGACAGAGAAUUUCCGUCAUUGCGGAGAGUUAUAUUGGACAGCACUGGCUUAGACCAUCAAGACUGGUCACUUGGAGCUGGGCACAUGGCCACUCUCAACAAAAUCAAGGUUUUGCUAAACUAGGAAGGAUGGGGAAAAGGAUAUAGAAUGCAACUAUAGGACAUUCUUCAGAACGAGUAAGAUGUCCUGGCCCCAAAAGAGAUGGAUAUGCAUAUUCAGCAUGUAUCUCCUAAAGAUGCUUAGCUGUCACCCAAGGGAAGAGCUGGAGUCGGAGUUGAGUGGGAGGACAGAAUUCUAGAUCAAGGAUGGGCAAACUUUUUCUGUAAAGAGCUAGAUAGUAAAUAUUUUUGGCUUUGCUGCCUAUCUGGCAUCUGUCACAACUACUCAACUUUAUCAUUGUAGUGAAAAAGUAGUCAGAGACAAUAUGUAGCUGAAUGAGUGUGACCAUGUUCUAAGCAAACUUGAUUUACAGAAAUGAGUAGUGGGCUGGAUUUGGCUCACAGGCUUUAUUUUGCGUGGAACAUUGUGUAGAAAGGUAUGGAGGCUUGCAGCGGCCCAGCGUGCUGCAGUAAAGGGGACGGUGAGAUGGUUGGUAUGGCUGGAAAACAGGCUUUGGAAUAACCGUGUGAAGGAGGUUAGGAGGACAGACAACCAGGCUGUGAAGGUCCUGGGUGCAUAUCAAGGUUGUUUCGUUCUGGUAUUUUUAAAAUACUGUAAGCAACAAUAAGCCAAAGUUUUUACGUUGCAAAUUAUAUUGUCUUUUUAGACAACUCUGUGCAGCAUUGUGCAAAGGGGAUUGGAGAAAGUGAGACUAAAGGUAAAGAAAACCAGUUAAGAAGCUGUUGAAGAGCCUGAGCAAAAGCAGGAUUAUACACUGAGUGAUUCUGUCAGUAAGGAUGCCUGUCUCCUGAUCACACCUGAUAAUAAGCUGUUUACGGUAUGAGACCAAUGACUGUGACACAGGCUAAGUGUGCGUAUCUUGGAUUAAAAUAAAGAUCUGGUAAUUAUCAGGCUAAUAGUAUCAGUAUAGAUGUAGACACCAAGCCAAUAAAUCUUGUCCUCAUAACCUCAUCACUGGGGGCUGGCAAGAAGCACUAUUGGGUUAAAUGACAUGUGAAGAGCAGGAUCUGGACAUGCUCUUUUCAUUCUGGGAGUGUCGCCUGUCACCCCAGAGAACUGGUGUGAGUGCUGGUCUUGAGACCCGCCCUGGCCCUGGGAAGACUGUGACUGGAGUUGCGUGGGGCAGCCAGCUGUGGCCUCGGCAGAGUGGACUUCUGCAUGGGGCAGUGAGCUCGUUCCUACAGCUCAGUCCCAAAAGGUCCCGGGGAGGGAAAAGCCAGCCUUGAUGAACUCCUAACUUAGGAAGUUGGGUCCAGAGUUGAGCACAAUAUGGAGGUUUGCCUUGGAGUGUCUGCUAUCAGUAAAGAUGAAUUAUCCACGUGGGCUUAGAAAAAUCGGAAUGCAAAUUAUGUGUCAGUGGAUGUUUUUUUUCCAGCAUAGUAAUCCUAGCUUGUGAGUACACACAUGUUUUCAAAGCUGGUUUUGCAGACUGAGUAACAAGAACUCUACAAUCAAUGUUGCGAGGGUUGCUAAGUUGGUUUUCUUACGUGUAAGCAUAUUAGCACAGAAUCCUCUGGAGCUGAAUUCCAACUGGAAUAAUGUGUAGUGAUUUCUGGCAGUCUUCAUUGUGUGACCAUGCUCUUCAUGAAAGCAUCUUGGCUUGUUCACUAGUUAAAUCCUCACUGAUUCCUGAAAUUAUGAAAUAUAAAUGUAUUAUAAGAAGCGGCUUAGCAGCAUUCAGAAGGCAGAGUUGUACCUCACCCCAGGAAUGAAAAGGAAUGACUGUCUUACGUGCGUGGCUAUUUUUUCUCUGGGCGUCCCGAUUCCAAAUGCUGUGAGCAUCAGAAAAUGUCUCCUGAAUCUCAUUUUGAGUGCAGACCUCUUUCCAGGGGUAAUUAUGAGUAUUUCUGAGGGUGGGGCAGACAGAGAUGAUAACAUCAGAGACUGACUCCUUGACCGGGCCUGCUUGGUGAAGCCACUGCUCCAGGGGGGUGGUAGGUGGGCCUGCACUUGUGCGGGCCGCUGUCGACACCGGGCUCUGCUGCCUCGCCAGGGAUGCUCCAGGGCCAAGGCCACGGCCAGGCCUGACUGCCAGCCUUUGGCAUGGAGGCGUGAGGAUGCUUGGUCCACUUUCUGAGUCCAGUGCCCUAGAACAGAAGGGGCUGACUGGAUCUAGGGCAUAUGGAAUUCACUGAAUUUGUCCAAUUAUUUUUCAAGCUCGUAGGUUCCCAAACGUCGUUGGCUAAGUACGCAGACACUGGUGUCUGUCGAGGAGAGUGCACUCCGUAUGUGUCUGAUUCGUCUACCCUGAAAUGAUCAAAAUGUUGUAUUUCUGAGCUCUCUGAAGUACAGAAAGGUCUUUUGAAGUUUUGGAUUUCUUUUUUGCUCUUUAAUGAAAAUAACAGAAAUGAGUGAUCCCAGUGAUCACAAGAGGCCCAGAUCAGCCCGAUUCCUGGCCACCAAGAAGCUUUGGGCAUAAAUAUUUUCUGGGGUAUUUGUGCCGUUGGCUAUUCUGGAACACCCUUCUGAUUUGCUUUCGUCAUGCCUGAUCAGAAAGGCUGUUUUUGAAAAACUGGUGUUCAACAACCAUCAAUUUUUUUUAAAUGAAGCUUCUCAAGUCUUUUCUUAGAAUGGGGAAAUCUCUUUGUGACAAAGAAUAAAUAAACUAGCUCAAAAUGCUAGUUAGGUGACCUAGUUUCUUCAACAAGUCCAAAAACAUGGCAAGGAGGAAAAAAGAGAGAUGGAGGGGCGCGCUAAGGAAGAGGGGCUGAGGCGACAUAGGGCCCACUUGUGAUGUUUGGCCCUUGUUUGACCCUCACGCAAAACAGCUGUUAAAAGAGGAGAAGUAAAGCAUUAGGAGAGGCAGGAACACAGAAUAGAUUCUGGGUGAUAGUAAGGAAUUAUUAUUAAUUAUCAUCAUGUCGUAAUUAUUUUUUGAAAGAGAUCUCAUAUUUUAUAGAUACAUGCUAAAAUAUUUAUGGAAAAAUAAUACAAAGUCUGGAAUGUGUUUAAAAAGAACCGGCGUGGGGUCUAGAUGAGGAGACGACCACGGGUUGAAGUUGUCUGAAGCUGGGUGAGCAGCGCGUGCAGGUUCGCCAGACUGUUCUUUCUAAUUUUGAAUAUGUUUGAAAUUUAAUAUACUAAAAAGUUUUUAAAAAUUAGCAGUUUGGAAUCUCUGAAAGUCCUGGGUUCCUGAAGGUGCAUCCUUGGGUGGCCUUAGCGCCUGUCCCACACCUUCGCUAGUCCCGGGUGGAGGGAGAGACAGUUUCCCCUUUAGUCUUGGCUGUCUCCCGCCCUCCCUGUCUUUCUGUGUUUCUGUCUUCUUUUCUUCCUUCUCUUUCCUCUCUUGGCCUUUAUUUGGGCUGACAAGAAAAGAAAACACAAGUUUUGCGUCAGGUUGCAAAUAUCCUUAGGACACGUUGAUUCUCAUGGUGACACAAAGGCCUCGUGCCUUCUGGAGGCUCAGGCGACGGCCAGGCCUGUCCUGACCUCUGAGUGGUCUUACUGGGCUGAGGUCAAACCUGACUGGACCACCCGCCCACCGUCAGUCACCAUAACACGGUUUUUAAAAAUGUUGCCUCGGUGAGAGCGAGAAGGGUUUGGGUGGAAGCUGACAUUCUGCCACCUGCCUGGACUCCGGCGCGGGGCUUGGGAGUGCUCCCGUCCUCUGUGCCUGACUGUGGUUUGGGAUGAGUCCUUGGCUGUGGGAUUCUGCUGGGAGAUUGGUCUGACUUCAUCACUGCCUAAGCAGACAAAGAGAUUAGAUCACUGGAUCCCAAACUCCAUAAGUCCUCACCGGGUGAAGCACGUGGAGAGAUUUUUAAUUUUUAUUUUUUUUUUAGUAAAAAUACUUGGGGAACCCCCUGGGAGUUCUGAUUCAGCAGGUCUGAGUGAAGCAGAAGCUCGAUCUCUGUAACUUUAUCAGCUUCCCACGCGACUCUCCCCAUCAUUAGGUUGGAACUUUAGUAGACUCAAUAGCUUUUAAUGCAUUGGAGGGUUCUGGCUGUGCGAGGAGCAGAUUGAGAUUGUGUUUACUUAGAGCUCUGCCUUAUGACCAUGGACGUGGCGAGUGUUUUGUUGGUGGUAUUUGAACCCAGAUUUAUCUUUCUGCCGUGCCCUGCGGCUGUUUCUCAGGCCUCUCUUGGCCCCACAGGAUGUGUGAAAGGAGGGGCCGUCUGUUGAGAGGGCAGGAAACCCCACCAGUAGGGCCGGCUGCCAGAGCUUCCUUCACUGGGCUGUACUGGCCUGUUUGUAUUUCUCCGUCCAGCAGUGAGUGAAGGUCCCGCUGAAAGCCUUUGUCCCUGCUCGGAGCACCGGCUAUCUUCCCUGGGAGCUGUCUGGCCGGGUCGCGUGGCCGCCGAGGGACAGAAGCCUCCUCUAGGGAGGAGACCAAGAUGUGAGAGGGAAAGAAAAGAUUUCCCCGGUGGAUUCCAGGCGCUCUCUGUCGCUCACCUGGGGUGCUGGGCGGCCUGCGUGCUGGGCUUCCCUCCCGCGGCCUCUCUGCUUCCAAGUCACUGUCCUCAGCGGGGACCCUCUUAAGAACGCAGCCUGAUUAUGUUCCUCCCUGGAUGCCCCUUCAGUGACUCCCAAUUCCUUGAAUAAAAGGUCUGAGGCCCUCGGCAUGCAUUGAA
This is a non-coding RNA of Equus caballus (horse), 5168 nucleotides long. Lineage: Eukaryota; Metazoa; Chordata; Mammalia; Perissodactyla; Equidae. The record is from RefSeq and is a predicted model, not a curated record.